AAUAUUUAUUAAUAAAUAAAUGAUAAAGCAAUCAAAACAUGUCAACACAUAGUAUAAUUGACAAUACCAAGCACAGUUAAACACAUUAGGUAAAAGAAAGAAACACAUAUAGCAGAAACCAUAAAAUCUUGAUUUCACAGUUUAAUGCAAUGAGAAAUGCAUGUUACAAAAAUAUAAAGUAAACAGAUUGCAUAUUUCAGAUCUAAAAAGUGUCAAAGAUGGGCAACAUCCACCUCUUUUAACUUAUUGAAUUUAUUUUUUAAAAAUGAAAUCCUAACAUUUUUUUGAAUAUUUUCAUAGCGCGGAGAUAGAAUGCUGUAUUAACUACUACCUAGAGAAUGGAUUAUGUAAAGUUUGUUACCCGGGCACUUAUGGCGAAAAUUGCAAUAAGCGAUGUCCAAAUAAAACAUACGGCUAUCAAUGUGGACAGAAAUGUAAAUGCAGCGUUAACAUCACUUGUGACAAACACUUCGGCUGUGUUGACCAAGACUGCCCUCCCGGAAAAUUUGGAAUGAAGUGUGAAGAUGAAUGUCCAAUAGGGACGUUUGGAAAAUUCUGUUCAGGAAUAUGCCAGUGCAACUCUGAGUGUGAUAAAAGAUUUGGAUGUCCAAGGAAGGCUACUUCAAGUUUUCAUGCAGGAAGAUUGCUCAUAGUUUUACCAACGAUUCUCGUAGCUAUCGCUCUUACUAUUU
Saccostrea cuccullata (small rock oyster) is the source of this 692-nucleotide long non-coding RNA. RefSeq lists it as uncharacterized. The record is from RefSeq and is a predicted model, not a curated record. Lineage: Eukaryota; Metazoa; Mollusca; Bivalvia; Ostreida; Ostreidae. The transcript has 4 exons.